This is a non-coding RNA of Caenorhabditis elegans, 136 nucleotides long. The record is from Ensembl. Lineage: Eukaryota; Metazoa; Nematoda; Chromadorea; Rhabditida; Rhabditidae.
AAAGAGAUAGUCAGACACAGGAAGAAUCCCCACCAAAAGCUGUUUGCUCUUGAGAGCUCUGCCGCAAUCAGUCAUGUGCUCGGACACUCUUUGCAAGGGGUGACGUGUGAUCCGACAUAGUUUUCAGGUUUCUCAU